Molecule: long non-coding RNA, 2280 nt
Organism: Chiroxiphia lanceolata (lance-tailed manakin)
Lineage: Eukaryota; Metazoa; Chordata; Aves; Passeriformes; Pipridae
Exons: 3
Source: RefSeq, a predicted model, not a curated record
CCUUUGUUGGCAGCGGAGCAUCCUGGCGGCAUCGCCAUUGCUCGGAACGGCAGGACGGGAUCCUUUCUUCUCUCUCUUACCGCUGUGCAGCACCAUUUCCAGAAUGUAAACCUUGGCGUGCGAAUCGCUUUAUUGGAUCACAUUAAUGGCUUUAAACACAUAACACCGGUCUCAAAUUUAUACUCUGAGCAUAUAGCACAGUACAUAUUCUGGUUGAAAUAAUGCCGGUUUAUGAACAUCUCUUACGAGCCUCUUGGCGAGGCACCGAGUCCCAAAGGCCUUCUGCACGAGCACAGCUCCUGCUGGCAGGCUGCCCCUGAAGCUGUGCCCGCAGGUAUCAGUCGGGCAGGGAAUUAUCCAUCGGGCUGGCCCAUGCCCUGGCGGCCCCACCCCAGCCCAAGGGACUUCCCCACGUACAAAUUCUAACUUGUCCAAUGAACCAAAACAGCAGCAAACUGCUCUGUUGCAAACUCUGGCAAUCAGUGAGUCUGACAAGUUGAUAGAAUGUGAAUUUAAUAAAUCGAUUUGGGGAUUUAUAUAAAAAACCCAAGUGGAUUUGUGUUCUGCACUAGUUUUAACAUUCAAGAAGGGCCAGGAAAUUCAGCUUGCACAAGCUCAUCCUGCAAGGGACUUGCAGAAUUAAGCUAUAGUAUUUAUAGCACCCUAUUUCUUCCCAAUUAACCAGGAAACUGAUUUGAUUAAAGUGAAAACCAAAUUCUGUUUACUUACAUUGCAUUUCUGUGGUUGGCUUGCAUAACAGCAUAAAGAAGAUGGCAGCUGUUACUACCACUCUGGUAUUAAUAUCUGAACUGUUAAUCGAUUUCACAGUUUAUACGUGGCACAAAGGUCCUUGUGCAUGCUGCCUUUCACACAGAUUUAUUUGUUUUCCUCCCAGCAAGGUGUCCUUGACAUGGCAGAAAACGUCCGUCGCCCUUAGUAUUUGAUUUUAAAAAUAAAAUGAAGAGAAUUUUAAGUAUGAUUUACAAGCAGUGCCAGGCUGAUGGCUCUUCUCCAGUGGCUUUUUAAUUCAGGCACACAAAGUAACAGGCAAUUGCACAGUGAGUGUUCCUACAAGCAUCACUUCUGCGUUGGGAGGCUUUGGGGGUUUUUUAGCAGGUUGACCUUACAUCUUAUCUCUAGGUCUUAGACCAGAGGUCCUGUUCACCCCACCAGACACUGUGCCACAUGAUCCUGGGAAGCUGUGGUGGAAGAAGUUCUGUUUGUUUAGGUUAUCCCGUUUUCUCCCUUGGCUUUGCAGUGACCGGGAUCAAAGCCCCUGACACCACUGUCCUCGUGUGCAGUCCCUGUCCUGACCAGUGAAACCAUCACCAGGGAGUCCUUCCACCUGGACUGCAGCCCUGAGAUGGGACCUCCUGCUCACCUGCCCUGACAGAGCCGUGCAGUCCCUAGUCCCACACCACGUAUUUCAUUCUCCAGGAAGCAGAUGCCUGUGCUGUGGCACCAGUACCUGCAGCACUGACCGUGCUGAGCUCAAGAUCAGAAAUACAUCUGUGCAUACCCGGGAAAACAAGCUACUUGAGUGUUUCCAGUGUAAAACGCAGAAAGCACAGGCCCAGCACUGACCUGCAUGGCUGAGACACCGGAGAGCCUCUGUGUGCUCCAGGGCCUGCAAGGACUCCACCAGCUCCACCACAGUGCACCCACGAUCUCCCAGCAGCUUCAGGAGACUCCAGCUGGGACUGCCUUCUGGCUCCAGCACUUGGAGGGAACACUGCUCCAAAUCCAAAGGGCUACGGAGGAACAAAAGAAGGACAUGGCACAGACCACCUUCUUAACACGUUUUGCUCAGAAAGGAGCUGGGUUAACAAUCAAUUGUAGACAAACAAAAAGAUUUAAAAAAAUAGAGACAGAAAUUCCUUGCUGAUUUGGACAUAUUUGCGGUAUUUCCUUCAAGUUUCAUGAGUUCAGAAAUUAUACAGUGACAGAAACUGGUAUUAGUUAUUUGUGUGCUACAAGGUAAGAGAUGUGUGUACCUCACAAGUCUAACCCAAUGUAUUGAGAAACCUUCUAAUUUUCACUUCUUAAGGUAUCAGCAGAAAAGCUAGUACAGUACCCUUCAUUUCCAUGUGCCUAAUUCAGAAGCAGUAAAGAGCAACUCAGUGUCUAACUUCAAAGUGCAGGAAGACUCAUUUUAGAGGAGUUUUUAAAACAAGGGAGUGGUGCAGCCCAGCCAACCAUACAUCACUGCAGCGCAGUUAACUGCCUCUGAAGUUCUUGGUUUAAACUUUAGUGUGAAGUCUUCACGCACUUCCAACCACA